UCCGUAGGUGAACCUGCGGAGGGAUCAUUACUGAGUUUACGCUCUACAACCCUUUGUGAACAUACCUAUAACUGUUGCUUCGGCGGGUAGGGUCUCCGCGACCCUCCCGGCCUCCCGCCCCCGGGCGGGUCGGCGCCCGCCGGAGGAUAACCAAACUCUGAUUUAACGACGUUUCUUCUGAGUGGUACAAGCAAAUAAUCAAAACUUUUAACAACGGAUCUCUUGGUUCUGGCAUCGAUGAAGAACGCAGCGAAAUGCGAUAAGUAAUGUGAAUUGCAGAAUUCAGUGAAUCAUCGAAUCUUUGAACGCACAUUGCGCCCGCCAGCAUUCUGGCGGGCAUGCCUGUUCGAGCGUCAUUUCAACCCUCAAGCUCUGCUUGGUGUUGGGGCCCUACAGCCGAUGUAGGCCCUCAAAGGUAGUGGCGGACCCUCCCGGAGCCUCCUUUGCGUAGUAACUUUACGUCUCGCACUGGGAUCCGGAGGGACUCUUGCCGUAAAACCCCCCAAUUUUCCAAAGGUUGACCUCGGAUCAGGUAGGAAUACCCGCUGAACUUAAGCAUAUCAAUAAGCGGAGGA
RNAcentral lists this ribosomal RNA (575 nucleotides) under Colletotrichum gloeosporioides. RNAcentral describes it as "eukaryotic LSU rRNA". The stretch from base 203 to 356 matches the Rfam family "5.8S ribosomal RNA". The record is from RNAcentral. Lineage: Eukaryota; Fungi; Ascomycota; Sordariomycetes; Glomerellales; Glomerellaceae.